GGGAAGAUAUCCUUCUCUGUCUUCAAGCCCCGCCAUGUACAUGGAGUGAACAUCCCAAUGGGAAGAUCACAGGUGGAGAAACAACAUGCCACUGGAGCUCCCAAGGUCAUGGAAGGCACUGGACAUGUCCCAGGGUACAUUAGGAUCCAACAGGAUGUACCCUCACCUCUUCACAGAUGUUAGCCAGGAUUGUCAUUACGGAG
This 203-nucleotide long non-coding RNA is filed under the name Sus scrofa (pig). RNAcentral's name for it is "lncRNA (ENSSSCG00070010171.1)". Lineage: Eukaryota; Metazoa; Chordata; Mammalia; Artiodactyla; Suidae. The record is from RNAcentral.